UACAGAGGGGGCAAGCGUUGUUCGGAAUUACUGGGCGUAGAGGGCGCGUAGGCGGCCUGUUAAGUCGAACGUGAAAUCCCCGGGCUCAACCCGGGAACUGCGUCCGAUACUGGCAGGCUUGAAUUCGGGAGAGGGAUGCGGAAUUCCAGGUGUAGCGGUGAAAUGCGUAGAUAUCUGGAGGAACACCAAUGGCGAAGGCAGCUCGCUGGGACGUUACUGACGCUGAGACGCGAAAGCGUGGGGAGCAAACAGG
Molecule: ribosomal RNA, 253 nt
Filed under: uncultured bacterium
Lineage: Bacteria
Description: partial 16S ribosomal RNA
Rfam family: Bacterial small subunit ribosomal RNA
Source: RNAcentral